GGCGACGUAGCCAAGUGGUUAAGGCAGAGCUCUGCAAAAGCUCGAUCCCCAGUUCGAUUCUGGGCGUCGCCUCCA
This 75-nucleotide transfer RNA is filed under the name Chloroflexota bacterium. Its description in RNAcentral is "Chloroflexi bacterium tRNA-Cys". It matches the Rfam family "tRNA". From Rfam's summary of the family: Transfer RNA (tRNA) molecules are approximately 80 nucleotides in length. Their secondary structure includes four short double-helical elements and three loops (D, anti-codon, and T loops). RNAcentral also lists the same sequence under 3 other names. Lineage: Bacteria; Bacillati; Chloroflexota. The record is from RNAcentral.